AGUGAACGCUGGCGGUAGGCCUAACACAUGCAAGUCGAACGGCAGCACAAGAGAGCUUGCUCUCUGGGUGGCGAGUGGCGGACGGGUGGGGAAUACAUCGGAAUCUACUCUGUCGUGGGGGAUAACGUAGGGAAACUUACGCUAAUACCGCAUACGACCUACGGGUGAAAGCAGGGGACCUUCGGGCCUUGCGCGAUUGAAUGAGCCGAUGUCGGAUUAGCUAGUUGGCGGGGUAAAGGCCCACCAAGGCGACGAUCCGUAGCUGGUCUGAGAGGAUGAUCAGCCACACUGGAACUGAGACACGGUCCAGACUCCUACGGGAGGCAGCAGUGGGGAAUAUUGGACAAUGGGCGCAAGCCUGAUCCAGCCAUACCGCGUGGGUGAAGAAGGCCUUCGGGUUGUAAAGCCCUUUUGUUGGGAAAGAAAUCCAGCUGGCUAAUACCCGGUUGGGGUGACGGUACCCAAAGAAUAAGCACCGGCUAACUUCGUGCCAGCAGCCGCCGUAA
This 506-nucleotide ribosomal RNA is filed under the name uncultured bacterium. RNAcentral's name for it is "partial 16S ribosomal RNA". It matches the Rfam family "Bacterial small subunit ribosomal RNA", at positions 29 to 523 of the family's 1533-position model. The record is from RNAcentral.